This 359-nucleotide transfer-messenger RNA is filed under the name Deltaproteobacteria bacterium. It matches the Rfam family "transfer-messenger RNA". From Rfam's summary of the family: Bacterial tmRNA, also known as 10Sa RNA or SsrA, is named for its dual tRNA and mRNA-like properties. Its role is to liberate the mRNA from a stalled ribosome. To accomplish this part of the tmRNA is used as a reading frame that ends in a translation stop signal. Lineage: Bacteria; Pseudomonadati; Myxococcota; Myxococcia. The record is from RNAcentral. RNAcentral also lists the same sequence under 2 other names.
GGGGGCGAAACGGAUUCGACGGGGAUAUAGAAGCUCAAAGCUGCAUGCCGAGGUUCUGUCUGCUCGUAAAACAGAUGGAAAACUUAUAAUCGCCGACGAUUAUAAAUACGCUGUAGCAGCAUAGUUCUGCUCAGCCGUCCUGCCGGUUUUCCCCUGCGGAACCGGCAAAGGGCGUCGACUUAGCGGGGUAGUUUCCGGGCCGUGCCUGCCGGAACGGAAACGAAUUUUUCAGCAGGAUAGCGCUGCAGGAAGUUGGUUCCAGAAAAUUCUGCAGGGCGAUACCCUAAGCUGGAACUAAGCAUGUAGAAGCUUGAGGGGAGUAUUUCCGGACGCGGGUUCGACUCCCGCCGCCUCCACCA